This 866-nucleotide ribosomal RNA is filed under the name uncultured bacterium. RNAcentral describes it as "SSU rRNA". It matches the Rfam family "Bacterial small subunit ribosomal RNA", at positions 524 to 1381 of the family's 1533-position model. The record is from RNAcentral.
UACGGAGAGUGCAAGCGUUGUUCGGAAUUACUGGGCUUAAAGGGCGUGUAGGCGGAGUGGAGGGUGUCCUGUGAAAGCCCCGGGCUUAACCCGGGAUGUGCAGGGCAAACCGCCAUUCUUGAGGCAGGUAGAGGUGACUGGAACAACUGGUGGAGCGGUGAAAUGCGUAGAUAUCAGUUGGAACGCCGGCGGCGAAAGCGAGUCACUGGGCCUGUCCUGACGCUGAGACGCGAAAGCGUGGGGAGCGAACAGGAUUAGAUACCCUGGUAGUCCACGCCGUAAACGAUGCGCACUGGGUAUGAUAGGUUUUGACGCCGAUCGUGCCGAAGCAAAAGUGCUAAGUGCGCCGCCUGGGGAGUACGGCCGCAAGGCUAAAACUCAAAGGAAUUGACGGGGGCUCACACAAGCGGUGGAGUAUGUGGAUUAAUUCGAAGCAACGCGAAGAACCCUACCUGGGUUUGACAUGCACGGAUGCUCUCUUGGAAACAGGAGUAGGCUGCCUUCGGGUGAAACGUGCACAGGUGCUGCAUGGCUGUCGUCAGCUCGUGCUGUGAAGUGUCGGGUUAAGUCCCUUAACGAGCGAAACCCCUAUCGCUAGUUGCCAGCGGGUCAUGCCGGGAACUCUAGCGAGACCGCCGGUGUCAAACCGGAGGAAGGUGGGGACGACGUCAAGUCAUCAUGGCCCUUAUGCCCAGGGUUUCACACGUGCUACAAUGGUCGGUACAGAGCGACGCGAUACCGAGAGGUGGAGCAAAUCGCACAAAGCCGGCCCCAGUUCGGAUUGGAGUCUGCAACUCGACUCCAUGAAGUUGGAAUCGCUAGUAAUCGCGGAUCAGCAAUGCCGCGGUGAAUAUGUUCCUGAGCCU